UGAUAGCGAUGAAGCGCGAGGUUGCUGCUUUACAAUAGCAGGUUUUCCGUGGAGCGAAUGUCAAGUUAGGAAACUGGCGACAA
Eubacterium plexicaudatum ASF492 is the source of this 83-nucleotide non-coding RNA. The record is from Rfam. NCBI's taxonomy places the organism in Bacteria, Bacillati, Bacillota, Clostridia, Eubacteriales, Eubacteriaceae.